Molecule: long non-coding RNA, 1924 nt
Organism: Papaver somniferum (opium poppy)
Lineage: Eukaryota; Viridiplantae; Streptophyta; Magnoliopsida; Ranunculales; Papaveraceae
Exons: 6
Source: RefSeq, a predicted model, not a curated record
UCUGGAGAAUUUUAUUAAAUUAACAUAAAUAUUUAGCAAUUAAUUUUUUUUAAAUAAUUAUGUACCAAACAAAAUAUAAGAUUACAUACUUUUGGUGACAUAGUUUUCAGUAACCAUGAAUAUGAGAUGUGUUCGGCAGAUAUAUAUGGACACAAUUGUCGAACUUUAUCAGUAGGGGAAUAUAUGUGAAUAUUUUAUCCCUAAACUUCUUCUUUUUGUCUCUCAAAUUUCUCACGGCACAGAGACAACCCUAAUAUUUGCUUCUUCUCUAUUUUUCUGCGGUCACGAUGUCUUCUUCGUUUUGAUCGUUUUAUGUUUGGUUGAGAAGAAAAAAUAUGAAGAAUAUCCCUGCUUUGAUCUAUAACAAGUUUAUGUGCGAAAGAAAAUUUUCUAAACCAUCAAUAGGUACGAGUUGAUCUUUCAUUGGUGUUUCCCAUCGCCUGGUUGUUAUUUUGAUUCUCAAACCACCAUCAAUAAGUGUGCAAAUAGACGAAAACUUUUGCUUCGUGCUGGUGCUGCUGUGGUGAGAAGAUGGUAUGAUAUGGUGUAUGGACUUGCGGUGUGGAAACAAGCUGAUUGUGGUAAAGGUUCCGGGAUCUUCUAAGAUAUUCUCGAAUUCUGAUUGUGGAAAUGUACCCAUAUUUUUCUGGAGUGUUGUUUAAGACUAAUUCUAUUUUUGUUAACGAAUUCAGAAACUGCCAGAAAAACUUUUAUUCAUCUCUACAUUUAGAUUAUUCCAAAAACAGUGGUUGAUUGGCCGGCAAUUUACGCCUAAUUUAGUUUGAUUUCCUGGAAACCAAGUUAUGGAGCUGUAUAUAAGAGGUGCAGUGAUACUUGGUUUACACGUUCAAUGGCUGCCGCACUAGAGGAUACCUGACUACAGUUGCGUUUAGAAUAUGUUUUGCUAGAAUUGUGAUAAGGAAGAAUGGGUUUCCAGAGUUGUUGAAGCCCGUAAAUUUCAUUGUAGCUGAAUUCAUAUUGGUACCUGCUCCUGCUCACAAGAAAGAGGUAAAAACUUACGUAUACUAUGAUGCCCCUCUAAAGAUUUGGCUACCCGGUUUUUUUGCUAGCAGUAAAAAGCAUUGGCCCAUGGCGAGUUUAACCUGGGAGAUACAGAAACAUCAAUGAGUUGCAGGUAACUAUCACUUACACUGGCCUUUAUAUUUGUCAGUUUUGGCCAAUUUUAAAAAGAUGUUCUUUCCAACCUUUUGAAGUUAAAGACUUAAUAUAUGUGUUUGUGUGUUUAGCUAUAUGCUGAAGUAAAGGAGGCAUCAAAACGUAACUGCACCAUAUUUUGAGGUUUUUUAAUACUGUUAAGGUUAAAGAUACUCUUUGUGUGUUACUAUAUUUUCUAUUCUUAUCUGGUUUUUUCGGUUAUUGUUCCAAGUUCAGGUAUAUCUAAAAAAUCAGAAAAUUGUGGCAUGGCUUAAAUUGUGGCAAGUUCAGGGGAAAUCUAUAUACCGGCUGAACGAUGCUUAUGCUUUCUUCCUCUAGAAAUUGUGUAUACCGGCUGAACUAAUGAGAAUCAUUUGUCAGGAUUGCUUUGGUCAAAGGAAUUGCAAUCUUAUUUUAGACUACUGCGUCAUGUUCUAUAAAUGUGCUACGGGUAGUGUUGUAUCUUUGGGACUAUCUCUAACGCAAGCAAAUUUGCUGGCCUGUCUAGCAAACAAUGUCUUCUGCCAUGUUUUCAAUACAAGAAGUAGAACAAAUAGUAUUUAGUCACUACAUUUUUCUUGCUUUGGUCAUGUCAUAUGGGAGUUAAUUCCUGCCGCUGUUAUUUGGACUUUAUAGAAAUAAUCGUAUUUUUGAAGCCAAUUCCGACUACAAGGUUGACAGGGAUUUGGCAUAAGGGUCCAUUUUGAAUUUUUCAAACAGCGUUCACAGUUGGGACUUCAUUCUUUUUUUAUUGUUUUCUGUUGCAUUA